Molecule: long non-coding RNA, 1537 nt
Organism: Populus nigra (black poplar)
Lineage: Eukaryota; Viridiplantae; Streptophyta; Magnoliopsida; Malpighiales; Salicaceae
Exons: 4
Source: RefSeq, a predicted model, not a curated record
UUCCCGCGCCAAAACGCUCCCUUCACUGGUUUUUGAAAUCGCAAAUCAACGAGUUAAACACGAGUCAAUUCAAUAACUCAAGAGAAGACUCACUAAUGGACAUAGACAAUCAAGAAGAUCGGUUUCUUGCAUUCAUCGAUCACGCCAGGCGUGGAAGCGAGCAAAGAAGAAGUGGAUUGUCGAAGAAUAGACAGGAAAUUAUGAAUCGGUUGAAAAGGAAACACAGGAGAAAUAAGUUAGCAAAAACUGCGACUCUUGAUUCUGUUUAUGAGAAGAAUUUCUUGUCUUUAAAUAGUGCUUGGAAGCUGUUACUGUCGAUGCUUUUGUUAUACCUGAUAGUGAUAUAAAAUUAAAACGUUGCGUGUUUGGUUAUUAGUUGAUUCGUAUGCUUGCUUUGGGGGAUUUUUGGAGCUCGAACACUAUCGACCUUUAUCUACAUCGUAGCCUUGAAGCAACAUGGAAUGAGAAUGCAGCAAGGGCUUCCUUCAUAAACCUUAGUUUUUUGCCUGCAUUGCUGACCUCAUCUUGUCUUCACAAGUUAUCUUGCCCCUCUGAUCUAUCCAAUGAAGCCAGUUGACUCGUCUUGACCAAGUUGAUCAAUGUCAUGCGAACACAAGAUUUUCACGCUCUCAUUGUGGACAUGUUGUUAACAAGAUGCCUAGUGGGAGGUCGAAUGCAGCCUCUAAUUGUGAUGCUGAAGCUGCGUGCAUAUUCCACCUAAAAAUCACCCUUGCAGACGAGACUGGAAAAAUGUUUAGCUUGGUUUGUCGGUCAAACUGCCAGAGAGUUGCUGCAGAUAUCCCCUGGUGAAUUCUAUGAUCCCUGAGAUAAGGACUAAGCUCAAUGAUUUAUUUUAUACAACACAAGCUUCUAUUUCGUUUUUUUACUUAAUGUUCCAUGAACUUUUGAUGAUAUCAACACAAUGUCAUUUUGUAAGUACACAUAUUAGGUAUGCCCAUUUACAUCCACUCAUGUAUGCAUAGAUUGAGAAUGGUGCUGCUUUGAAUAUCGAUAAAUAUUAAAAAAAAAAACUGUCAAUCAAUUUGCUGCAAUUCAUGGUUGUCUAAUUUGCUGUUCCAAGUUGGUAUUAGACAUCCAUUUUCCAUGGCUCUUUGAGCAUGGAACGGCUCCUGCAGUUUCCUUGGUUUUUCAGCUGCACAAAUCUUCCCUUUUCCCAAGACGCUUAAAAAUUCACGCAGGAGAUGACACAAUCUGAAGCACUGAAAGUAAUUGUAAGCAUAGCGACCACCUCAAAAUCUAGUCACGAAGAAUCUCUUGCAGGCUGACUACAAUUCUUCUUUCCGGGAAAGUUCUAGUUCCUCACUUCAUUCUUGAUUCUUUGUACUUAUUACAGGAUGAACAAUUUAUGUAUCCUUCAUCACCCGAGAAUGAGAGUUUCAUAGAUGCAUUAGUGAAUUGCCAGAGGCAUGGUUAUGGAAUCUGUAGACAGGGUAUAACCCAGGAGGCUGAUGCAAUUCGGUGGGAGAUCACUCGUGCAUUAAGGUGUGAAUAGUUAUGGACAGAAACAAGAAAACAA